GGAAGGGUGGCCGAGUGGUUUAAGGCAACGGUUUGCUAAACCGUGACCCCGUAAAAAGGGUCCCAUGGGUUCGAAUCCCAUCCCUUCCGCCA
Molecule: transfer RNA, 92 nt
Filed under: Candidatus Doudnaibacteriota bacterium
Lineage: Bacteria; Candidatus Doudnaibacteriota
Description: Candidatus Doudnabacteria bacterium tRNA-Ser
Rfam family: tRNA
About the family: Transfer RNA (tRNA) molecules are approximately 80 nucleotides in length. Their secondary structure includes four short double-helical elements and three loops (D, anti-codon, and T loops).
Source: RNAcentral